This 527-nucleotide small RNA is filed under the name Pan troglodytes (chimpanzee). RNAcentral's name for it is "retained intron". The record is from RNAcentral. Lineage: Eukaryota; Metazoa; Chordata; Mammalia; Primates; Hominidae.
AGGACACUGACGACCGAAACAAGAUGUCAGUAGUUACUGAAAGCUCUCGAAAUUACGGUUACAAUCCUUCUCCUGUGAAGCCUGAAGGACUUCGCCGCCCACCUAGUAAGACUAGUAUGCAUCAAAGCCGAAGACUCAUGGCUUCUGCUCAGUCCAACCCUGAUGUAAGUCACCUCAAGCUUAUUCAGAGUCUAAUAAAGGAAAAUGGGCCAUUGUCACCUCAUCAAGUCCUUCACUAUAAUUACUGUUAGGUCUUCUCCUACUUCUUUAGCCUUGACUUCCUGCCUUAUUUUCUUUCAUCCAGCAUCUAAUCUUCCUCUUGCCACCGCCCUUUCCUGCCAAACCGUGGGUAACAGCAAGGACUUAAAGGAGCCCUUCCCAUUUACUUCUCUUACUUCUUACCCUCCUGCUUCCCCAGGAUGUCCUGACACUGUCCAGCAGCACAGAAAGUGAGGGGGAAAGUGGGACCAGCCGAAAGCCCACUGCUGGUCAGACUUCGGCUACAGCGGUUGACAGUGAUGAUAUCC